RNAcentral lists this unclassified non-coding RNA (633 nucleotides) under Hevea brasiliensis (rubber tree). The record is from RNAcentral. Lineage: Eukaryota; Viridiplantae; Streptophyta; Magnoliopsida; Malpighiales; Euphorbiaceae.
CAGAAGCUAACUUCUCGCCAUCCAGCAUAUACCUUUCCACAAUAAAAUCAGAACUCAAAGAUCAGUUACAAUCAAGUCUAACAGCACACAGGUCUUGGCAGGAAGCGCUCAUCAGCAUGGCGUGGAAGGUAUUGUUUUAACUUUUGUGUCCUUAUAUCCCAAACCUGGAAAAUUAAAGAAAAUUUAACGUUAGAAACAGAGAGAUCAUCACACUUGGAACUAAAGGUGCAUAAAUGAUAUCCUAGUGAGAAGGUUUUUCUAUUGCAUUCAAUGACAUUCUUACAACUUUAGAAAAACAUGAUCACGUAAUUCACUAAAAUUAAAUAGGAAACUGAAGAAAGAAAACUUUGAAACAGAAUGCCAUUUAUCACCCAAUGAUCCUGUCGGAAAACUGAAUAACUCAAUAAAGGGCUAACGGUAAUUACAGUAUUCCUUCAGUGUGGAGUCUUUGCUUCCACUUGAAACAAGCCUAUUGUCAUCUGACCAGCUGUGGAACAUCAAGCAACAUUAAGAUUUAUGCUAUAAAGUAUAGGUACAGAAAAACAAAGACCAUCAGAACAACCCAAACCUGAUUUGCUAAACAGGCCCAACAUGUCUCCGAAAAGCAGCAACGAAUUUUCCAGUAACACCAUC